RNAcentral lists this ribosomal RNA (459 nucleotides) under uncultured bacterium. RNAcentral's name for it is "partial 16S ribosomal RNA". It matches the Rfam family "Bacterial small subunit ribosomal RNA", at positions 338 to 795 of the family's 1533-position model. The record is from RNAcentral.
CCUACGGGAGGCAGCAGUGAGGAAUAUUGGUCAAUGGCCGGAAGGCUGAACCAGCCAAGCCGCGUGAAGGACGAAGGUGCCAAGCAUUGUAAACUUCUUUUGUCAAGGGACAAAAUCAGGCUCGAGAGCCUGACCGAGGGUACUUGAAGAACAAGCAUCGGCAAACUCCGUGCCAGCAGCCGCGGUAAUACGGAGGAUGCGAGCGUUAUACGGAUUUAGUGGGUUUAAAGGGUGCGUAGGCGGGCUGUUAAGUCAGCGGUAAAAGCCCGGGGUUAAACCCCGGCGAGCCGUUGAAACUGGCUGUCUUGAGAUGUCGAGAGGUAUGCGGAAUGCGCAGUGUAGCGGUGAAAUGCUUAGAUAUGGCGCAGAACUCCGAUUGCGAAGGCAGCAUACCGGCGGCGAUCUGACGCUGAGGCACGAAAGCGUGGGUAUCGAACAGGAUUAGAUACCCCUGUAGUC